RNAcentral lists this ribosomal RNA (423 nucleotides) under Physarum reniforme. RNAcentral describes it as "SSU rRNA". It matches the Rfam family "Eukaryotic small subunit ribosomal RNA", at positions 1230 to 1644 of the family's 1831-position model. The record is from RNAcentral. Lineage: Eukaryota; Evosea; Eumycetozoa; Physariida; Physaraceae.
ACACGUAUGAAAGUCAAGCUGAAAGACUUUACUCAAUGAUGUAAGUGGUGGUGCAUGGUCGUUCUUAGUUCGUGGAUUGAUUUGUCUGGUCUAUUCCGAUAACGAGCGAGACCCCAUCGUUCCUAAUAGGGGCGGCUAGCCCGCUGACCGAAAGGUUAGUAGCUUCCGCUUAAGAUUUGCUUCUUAGACGUAUCAGAGCCGAUAAGGUUCUUGAAAUGGGUUAAUAACAGGUCAGUCAUGCCCUUAGAUGUUCUGGGCCGCACGCGCGUUACAAUGGCAUGUAAAGCAAGUGCUUGAAAAGGCGUCUCCGGGGCCGAAAGGUCCUGGUAACCCUUAGUCCCUGCCUUGACUGGGACAGAUCUUUGCAAUUAUUGGUCUCCAACGAGGAAUUUUUAGUAGUCGUAGGUCAUUAACCUACGACGA